RNAcentral lists this ribosomal RNA (497 nucleotides) under uncultured bacterium. Its description in RNAcentral is "partial 16S ribosomal RNA". It matches the Rfam family "Bacterial small subunit ribosomal RNA", at positions 28 to 507 of the family's 1533-position model. The record is from RNAcentral.
GAUGAACGCUGGCGGCGUGCCUAAUACAUGCAAGUCGAGCGAACAGACGAGGAGCUUGCUCCUCUGACGUUAGCGGCGGACGGGUGAGUAACACGUGGAUAACCUACCUAUAAGACUGGGAUAAAUUCGGGAAACCGGAGCUAAUACCGGAUAAUAUAUUGAACCGCAUGGUUCAAUAGUGAAAGACGGUUUUGCUGUCACUUAUAGAUGGAUCCGCGCCGCAUUAGCUAGUUGGUAAGGUAACGGCUUACCAAGGCAACGAUGCGUAGCCGACCUGAGAGGGUGAUCGGCCACACUGGAACUGAGACACGGUCCAGCCGCCUACGGGAGGCCGCAGUAGCGAAUCUUCCGCAAUGGGCGAAAGCCUGACGGAGCAACGCCGCGUGAGUGCUGAAGGUCUUCGGAUCGUAAAACUCUGUUAUUGGGGAAGACCAAAUGUGUAAGUAACUAUGCACGUCUUGACGGUACCUAAUCAGAAAGCCCCGGCUAACUACGUG